RNAcentral lists this ribosomal RNA (269 nucleotides) under uncultured archaeon. Its description in RNAcentral is "partial 16S ribosomal RNA". It matches the Rfam family "Archaeal small subunit ribosomal RNA", at positions 718 to 982 of the family's 1478-position model. The record is from RNAcentral.
AGUCACUGACAUUAGAUACCCCGGUAGUCCAGGGUGUAAACGCUGCGGGCUUUGGGUGUUUGGGGGGGUCCUUUGAGGGCGCCCAGUGCCGGAGAGAAGUUGUUAAGCCUGCUGCUUGGGGAGUACGUCCGCAAGGAUGAAACUUAAAGGAAUUGGCGGGGAGCACCGCAACGGGAGGAGCGUGCGGUUCAAUUGGAUUCAACGCCGGACAACUCACCAGGAGCGACGGUUACAUGAAGGCCAGGCUGAUGACCUUGCCUGAUUUUCCG